RNAcentral lists this ribosomal RNA (422 nucleotides) under uncultured bacterium. RNAcentral describes it as "partial 16S ribosomal RNA". It matches the Rfam family "Bacterial small subunit ribosomal RNA", at positions 360 to 773 of the family's 1533-position model. The record is from RNAcentral.
AAUAUUGCGCAAUGGCCGAGAGGCUGACGCAGCGACGCCGCGUGCGGGAGGAAGCCCUUCGGGGCGUAGACCGCUGUCAGGGGGGACGAACCGCCGGGGUGGGAAUACUGCCUCGGUCUGACGGUACCCUCAGAGGAAGCACCGGCUAACUCCGUGCCAGCAGCCGCGGUAAUACGGAGGGUGCGAGCGUUGUUCGGAAUUACUGGGCGUAAAGCGCGCGCAGGCGGACGUGCAAGUCGGGGGUGAAAUCCCAGGGCUCAACCCUGGGACUGCUUUCGAUACUGCAUGUCUAGGGACCGGUAGAGGCUGGUGGAAUUCCCGGUGUAGCGGUGGAAUGCGUAGAUAUCGGGAAGAACACCUGUGGCGAAGGCGGCCAGCUGGGCCGGAUCCGACGCUGAGGCGCGAAAGCGUGGGGAGCAAAC